This 459-nucleotide ribosomal RNA is filed under the name uncultured bacterium. Its description in RNAcentral is "partial 16S ribosomal RNA". It matches the Rfam family "Bacterial small subunit ribosomal RNA", at positions 338 to 795 of the family's 1533-position model. The record is from RNAcentral.
CCUACGGGUGGCAGCAGUGAGGAAUAUUUGUCAAUGGCCGCAGGGCUGAACCAGCCAAGUCGCGUGAGGGAUGACGGUCCUAUGGAUUGUAAACCUCUUUUGUCAGGGAACAAAGGGAGCCACGUGAGGCUGUUCGCGAGUACCUGAAGAAAAAGCAUCGGCUAACUCCGUGCCAGCAGCCGCGGUAAUACGGAGGAUGCGAGCGUUAUCCGGAUUUAUUGGGUUUAAAGGGUGCGCAGGCGGAAUGUGAAGUCAGCGGUAAAAUUUCGGGGCUCAACCCCGUCGUGCCGUUGAAACUGGCGUUCUUGAGUGAGCGAGAGGUAUGCGGAAUGCGUGGUGUAGCGGUGAAAUGCAUAGAUAUCGCGCAGAACUCCGAUUGCGAAGGCAGCAUACCGGCGCCCAACUGACGCUCAGGCACGAAAGCGUGGGUAUCGAACAGGAUUAGAUACCCCUGUAGUC